RNAcentral lists this ribosomal RNA (793 nucleotides) under uncultured bacterium. Its description in RNAcentral is "bacterial SSU rRNA". It matches the Rfam family "Bacterial small subunit ribosomal RNA", at positions 8 to 796 of the family's 1533-position model. The record is from RNAcentral.
AGAGUUUGAUCCUGGCUCAGAUUGAACGCUGGCGGCAUGCCUUACACAUGCAAGUCGAACGGCAGCACGGAGCUUGCUCUGGUGGCGAGUGGCGAACGGGUGAGUAAUAUAUCGGAACGUACCCUAGAGUGGGGGAUAACGUAGCGAAAGUUACGCUAAUACCGCAUACGAUCUAAGGAUGAAAGUGGGGGAUCGCAAGACCUCAUGCUCGUGGAGCGGCCGAUAUCUGAUUAGCUAGUUGGUAGGGUAAAAGCCUACCAAGGCAUCGAUCAGUAGCUGGUCUGAGAGGACGACCAGCCACACUGGAACUGAGACACGGUCCAGACUCCUACGGGAGGCAGCAGUGGGGAAUUUUGGACAAUGGGCGAAAGCCUGAUCCAGCAAUGCCGCGUGAGUGAAGAAGGCCUUCGGGUUGUAAAGCUCUUUUGUCAGGGAAGAAACGGUGAGGGCUAAUAUCCCUUGCUAAUGACGGUACCUGAAGAAUAAGCACCGGCUAACUACGUGCCAGCAGCCGCGGUAAUACGUAGGGUGCAAGCGUUAAUCGGAAUUACUGGGCGUAAAGCGUGCGCAGGCGGUUUUGUAAGUCUGAUGUGAAAUCCCCGGGCUCAACCUGGGAAUUGCAUUGGAGACUGCAAGGCUAGAAUCUGGCAGAGGGGGGUAGAAUUCCACGUGUAGCAGUGAAAUGCGUAGAUAUGUGGAGGAACACCGAUGGCGAAUGCAGCCCCCUGGGUCAAGAUUGACGCUCAUGCACGAAAGCGUGGGGAGCAAACAGGAUUAGAUACCCUGCUAGUCC